CUUCGACGAGUCGAGUAGUUUGGGAAUGCUGCUCAAAAUGGGAGGUAAAUUUCUUCUAAAGCUAAAUACCGGCCAGAGACCGAUAGCGCACAAGUAGAGUGAUCGAAAGAUGAAAAGCACUUUGAAAAGAGGGUUAAAAAGUACGUGAAAUUGUUGAAAGGGAAGCGCCUGUGACCAGACUUGCGCCCCGCGGACCACCCGGCGUUCUCGCCGGUGCACUCUGCGGUGCGCAGGCCAGCAUCGGUUCUCCCAGGGGGACAAAGGCCGCGGGAACGUAGCUCCUUCGGGAGUGUUAUAGCCCGCGGCGGCAUGCCCCUGGGGGGACCGAGGACCGCGCUUCGGCAAGGAUGCUGGCGUAAUGGUCACCAGCGACCCGUCUUGAAACACGGA
RNAcentral lists this ribosomal RNA (390 nucleotides) under Sporothrix schenckii. RNAcentral describes it as "partial large subunit ribosomal RNA". It matches the Rfam family "Eukaryotic large subunit ribosomal RNA", at positions 255 to 665 of the family's 3401-position model. Lineage: Eukaryota; Fungi; Ascomycota; Sordariomycetes; Ophiostomatales; Ophiostomataceae. The record is from RNAcentral.